RNAcentral lists this ribosomal RNA (274 nucleotides) under uncultured bacterium. RNAcentral describes it as "partial 16S ribosomal RNA". It matches the Rfam family "Bacterial small subunit ribosomal RNA", at positions 523 to 796 of the family's 1533-position model. The record is from RNAcentral.
AUACGAAGGGGGCUAGCGUUGCGCGGAAUUACUGGGCGUAAAGGGAGCGUAGGCGGACUGUUUAGUCAGAGGUGAAAGCCCAGGGCUCAACCUUGGAAUUGCCUUUGAUACUGGCAGUCUUGAGUACGGAAGAGGUAUGUGGAACUCCGAGUGUAGAGGUGAAAUUCGUAGAUAUUCGGAAGAACACCAGUGGCGAAGGCGACAUACUGGUCCGUUACUGACGCUGAGGCUCGAAAGCGUGGGGAGCAAACAGGAUUAGAUACCCUUGUAGUCC